Molecule: ribosomal RNA, 1029 nt
Filed under: Triticum aestivum (bread wheat)
Lineage: Eukaryota; Viridiplantae; Streptophyta; Magnoliopsida; Poales; Poaceae
Description: partial small subunit ribosomal RNA
Source: RNAcentral
AUGGAGAUUGCCCGCCGGGAGCCCUUCAGCAUCAUGUCCGGCUCCGGCCGGAAGCGCCCGCGCCCGCUGGAGAUCCUUCGCAAGCGGUUCCAGUCUGAGCUCGUCGCGGUUCGUCGCCUCCUCGCCGAGGCGGCCACCGUGCUUCCUGCCUCGUGCCCGUCGGCUCCCCGCGUGCGCGUUCGUCCAGCCGAGGAGCCGCUAGCCAAGAAGAGGAAGGCGUCCCCUCCCGUUCCCAUGAAGAAGAUGACGCCCAAGGAGCGGAACCAGCUCUACGCGGACCUCACCAAGCUAGCCAAGCUGUCUGAAUCCCAUGUACUCCCUGCUCAUAUCCUGGAGCUGCUGAAGAAGCACAGCCGCCGCGGCAUCUGCGACGAUUACGUCGAGAUCGAGAUGCACGCCGUCCAAGACGCGGCCCUUGUGGAGAUGCAGAAGCAGCUGGACAAGUUCCUUCGAGAGAGGGCCCAAGACCAAGAGGAGGACGAAGACGUCGACAUCGUCGGCGGCGUCUCCCCUUUGCCGGUCAGGCCGACACCAGUGCAGCUCGUCGUCGAAGAGGAUGAGGAGUACGUGGACAUCUGCGGCGACGCCUCACCGGUGAAGAAUCUUGGCCAAGGUGCAACCAUCAGCGGCAGCAGCGGUUUGGAUUCUGGUUCAUCUCACCAGAGUGUCGACAGUCGUCCAGCUCCGGCAGAGCGCGCCGCCAACAGUAGUACGCCUCCAACACGCGACCUCAUCGCCCGUGCCAACAAGAUUCUGGAAAGGCGGCGAAAGGAGGAGACGUCCCGUGCGAGGGAGAAGGCCCGUCAGGAGCUGCUCGAGAUGGAGAGGACGGCAAUGCCGAAGGACACCCUAGACGAGGACGUGAAGGCGCUCGGCAUUGAUCAGUACAACACGGCGAGGCCGAACAACUUGUUGCGACAGAUGGGACUCUUCCUCAAGCUUGACGACCACGACCUGAAGCAGCAGCAGCAGCAGCAUCAUAAUCAAAGCUGCCAAGAAGAUUUAGAGGAAGGGGAGAUUCGGCUGUGA